AUACGUAGGGAGCAAGCGUUGUCCGGAAUUACUGGGCGUAAAGGGCGUGUAGGCGGCCGAUCAAGUCAGGUGUGAAAUUUCAGGGCUCAACCCUGAGCGUGCACUUGAAACUGGUUGGCUUGAGUGCAGAAGAGGAAAGUGGAAUUCCCAGUGUAGCGGUGAAAUGCGUAGAUAUUGGGAGGAACACCAGUGGCGAAGGCGACUUUCUGGUCUGUAACUGACGCUGAGGCGCGAAAGCUAGGGGAGCGAACAGGAUUAGAUUCCCUGGUAGUCCUAGCCGUAAACGAUGGGUACUAGGUGUAGGGGGUUUAGACGCCCUCUGUGCCGCAGUUAACACAUUAAGUACCCCGCCUGGGGAGUACGGCCGCAAGGCUGAAACUCAAAUGAAUUGACGGGG
Molecule: ribosomal RNA, 397 nt
Filed under: uncultured bacterium
Lineage: Bacteria
Description: partial 16S ribosomal RNA
Rfam family: Bacterial small subunit ribosomal RNA
Source: RNAcentral